RNAcentral lists this ribosomal RNA (871 nucleotides) under Phellinus rhabarbarinus. RNAcentral's name for it is "eukaryotic LSU rRNA". It matches the Rfam family "Eukaryotic large subunit ribosomal RNA", at positions 66 to 915 of the family's 3401-position model. Lineage: Eukaryota; Fungi; Basidiomycota; Agaricomycetes; Hymenochaetales; Hymenochaetaceae. The record is from RNAcentral.
UAACAAGGAUUCCCCUAGUAACUGCGAGUGAAGCGGGAAAAGCUCAAAUUUAAAAUCUGGUGGUUUUGCCAUCCGAGUUGUAAUCUGGAGAAGCGUUUUCUGUGCUGGACCGUGUACAAGUCUCUUGGAACAGAGCGUCAUAGAGGGUGAGAAUCCCGUCCAUGACACGGACACCCAGUGCUAUGUGAUACGUUUUCAAAGAGUCGAGUUGUUUGGGAAUGCAGCUCAAAAUGGGUGGUAAGCUCCAUCUAAAGCUAAAUAUUGGCGAGAGACCGAUAGCGAACAAGUACCGUGAGGGAAAGAUGAAAAGCACUUUGGAAAGAGAGUUAAACAGUACGUGAAAUUGUUNNGAAAGGGAAACGCUUGAAGUUAGUCGCGUCUUACUUGACUCAGCCCUUGCUUCGGCUUGGUGUAUUUCAUGUGAGACGGGUCAACAUCGAUUUCGACCGGCAGACAAGGGGAGUAAGAAUGUGGCACUCUUCGGGGUGUGUUAUAGCUUAUUCUCAUAUGUGUCGGUUGGGAUCGAGGACCGCAGCGCGCCCUUGUGGCCGGAGGUUCGCCUCACGUUACGCGCUUAGGAUGUUGGCAUAAUGGCUUUAAGCGACCCGUCUUGAAACACGGACCAAGGAGUCUAACAUGCUCGCGAGUGUUAGGGUGGAAAACCCUUGCGCAGAAUGAAAGUAAAAGUUGGGAACCUCCGCAAGGGGGCGCACCGACGCCCGGCCCAGAAGUUCACGGACGGUGCUGCGGUAGAGCGCGUAUGUUGGGACCCGAAAGAUGGUGAACUAUGCCUGAAUAGGGCGAAGCCAGGGGAAACCCUGUGUGGAGGCUCGUAGCGAUUCUGACGUGCAAAUCGAUCGUCAAAUUUGGG